GAAAGGCCAGAAUUCCUCGAGUAUCUCUUAAACUCCUUGCUCUUCUGUAAUCUAUCUCUGCAUCCGAACAGGACCGGCUUGAUGGAAUUCCCUUGCUGCUUUGGAUCUCUGAGGCCUUCGUAAAUGUCUGAUCACAGCAGUCCCCAGCAUGGCUUCCUCUAUCUGUAACUCCAUUGAUCAGCUCAACUUUCGGGCUCUCCAU
Molecule: unclassified non-coding RNA, 202 nt
Filed under: Hevea brasiliensis (rubber tree)
Lineage: Eukaryota; Viridiplantae; Streptophyta; Magnoliopsida; Malpighiales; Euphorbiaceae
Source: RNAcentral